GAAGACUUUUCGAUCCUACGCGAUGGGUCCGACACUGGAAGCUGCAUUUGCUCCAUUUUCUACAUCCAAAGUGAUCGCUCGACCAGCGUGCGAUUGAACGUUCGAUAAGAGAAAAGGGCGGGUGGUGCUUUCGUAAGCACACCACCGUGCUCUACUCCAUUUUACCACUUGCCAUUUCUCUUUUCUUCUCCUUACAGUCUCUUGUCCCGAACCACCUAGAAAAAGAAAAGGCCUUUUCCAAUUCGUAGCUUUCUAACUGCAUCUAUCUGAAAUGGAAGGGUUUCGGAUUCGACGCAAGUUUCGCCUGCGUUGCUUUAACAUCGAGGUGAAAUUAAAGCUGUGGCUUCUUUUCUUGAAAACGUGCUUGUGGAUUGUGGAAACAGGGUCGAGACCCGAGAGCUAGAUUUGGAAGGGAGCGUAAGUUUAAUAGGCGUAUGAUGCGGUCACUGAAAGCUUUUCAAGUUGCAGCUUCAGAGAUUGAGGAGCUGUAUCGGAGGACUAGGGCAGUGAUCCAGCUGAUGUCUGAAGCCAAUAAACUUGCUGAUGGGUGGAUUUAUGAGUUUCUUAUUAUGAUUGAAAACGACCCUUUGAUGAUGAACGCUUUUGAAAUGAUCAAUGCUCAGAAUCUGGAUGUGACUUCUGAGGAACACAUUGAUCAGAAUCAGGAUGACCUAUAUGAUUUAUUAUCUUUGAUGGGUUGGUAGUUGGUUCUAUCAACAACACCGUCUUCAAAAUUUAAAAUCACCUUUUCUUAAAAGUAUAAUAUGUACUACCUUUGUAAAACACUGUUAGGCUAAGGAGGGCAUUGGUAGAGUCAAUAAUAUGCUAAUGUUUAUGGUAUAAAGCUUCUGUUAGUGUCCUGGUUAUGUGUAUGGUAGUUGUCAUGCCAUGGUGUAUUCCUAUUUCAUCAUUGCCUUAGUGUUUCCCGCUAGUUUUCCAUCUCCUACAUGUUUAUUGUUACUGCUGGUGCACUUUGAUAUUUCAGCAAUGGAGUCUAAUGUAUGGAUGAUUUUAUCUAUUUCUAAGACUCGUGUAUGGAACAUUUUAUAUUUUCUCA
Gossypium raimondii (Peruvian cotton) is the source of this 1057-nucleotide RNA transcript. RefSeq lists it as uncharacterized. The transcript is spliced from 2 exons. NCBI's taxonomy places the organism in Eukaryota, Viridiplantae, Streptophyta, Magnoliopsida, Malvales, Malvaceae. The record is from RefSeq and is a predicted model, not a curated record.